CUCAAUAUCUAGUCCUAUGUAUCUUACAUUCUGUUUUAAUAUCUGACAAGUGACAGUUAGGAUGCGGUCCAUUAUUAUUUAACCUUCAAAAGGGUUUAUUAGAGACCUUUGACAAUUUGAAUAAUUCCUAAAACUUGACAGCUGGUUAAUCAUUUCACUUGACAUAAAUCAGCUGAUUUUCACUUCAAUUAGUCCAUCCAGAAUACUAGAAAUGUGAAUAUUUUCUGACCACACCCUACGAUAGGUUAUCAUCAUCCACAUUAAGAUGAUUUAGCGAAAAAAUUGAAUUAUUAAUUCUAUUAUAGUGAAGAAAAGCAAUGUAUAAUUAUUGCGCUCACCUGGAGUGAGUGGUUCAAUAGUACUUUUCCUUUAUAGCAAUUAACUAGCAUUAUUCUCUCUUAUUGUUUCAUAGAAAAUUGAAAUAAACCGACCAUUUUAUUCCCGCCAACAUAAAAUUCCCAUCACAAAAGAACAGCAUAAGAAGCACAAAGAGCGCGCUAGUAGUACCCAAUAAUUUCUUAAUUAACACGUUCAACCUUGACGAACGUUAUACUUGCGUUACGUCACGGCAUAUCUAUUGAAAAAUGAAUAACCUAUUCAUUUACAACGUACCGUUUUACAAUAGUUACACAAGGUCACCAGAACGUGCAUGCGCCACAUAUUUCUGCCUCUGCGGUACUUUUAUCGGUACCCGCUACGUUUUAAUGGUCGCGUUUACGAGAGUUUGCUAGAAAAUGGGUUUGUUUGUCUGUUUGGUAACUAGAACUGGUCGUUGGUUGGAACUGUUACGUCACCUUGUGAUCUAUAUAUACAUAUUGUAAACACCGAGAAACCAACUGAUACUCCGUCAUUUUGGAAUGACAAGUGGCACACCGCACGACGCGACGUCUAGAAGGAUGGCAAAAAUCGUCCGGAACAGUGUUCAGCCAAGUAUAUAAGGAGCCGCAUCGCUGAUAGUUGUCAGUUCAGUGAAAUAAAUUUAGAAAUAUUGGCGCGAAAUUUAAAUAGUGGUAAAUAAAUACAGUAAAAAUAUAUAUCUUGUAGUGAGUGAUCCUGUUUUCGUAAUGAAAUGUGUAAAUAAAUUAGUUGACUAUU
Molecule: long non-coding RNA, 1095 nt
Organism: Anthonomus grandis grandis
Lineage: Eukaryota; Metazoa; Arthropoda; Insecta; Coleoptera; Curculionidae
Exons: 2
Source: RefSeq, a predicted model, not a curated record